UUUUAUCAGAGAGUUUGAUCCUGGCUCAGGAUGAACGCUGGCGGCGUGCUUAACACAUGCAAGUCGAACGGGAAACCUUUUAUUGAAGCUUCGGCAGAUUUAGAUUGUUUCUAGUGGCGGACGGGUGAGUAACGCGUGGGUAACCUGCCUUAUACAGGGGGAUAACAGUCAGAAAUGACUGCUAAUACCGCAUAAGCGCACAGGACCGCAUGGUCCGGUGUGAAAAACUCCGGUGGUAUAAGAUGGACCCGCGUUGGAUUAGCUAGUUGGUGAGGUAACGGCCCACCAAGGC
This 292-nucleotide ribosomal RNA is filed under the name Blautia massiliensis (ex Durand et al. 2017). RNAcentral's name for it is "partial 16S ribosomal RNA". It matches the Rfam family "Bacterial small subunit ribosomal RNA", at positions 1 to 274 of the family's 1533-position model. The record is from RNAcentral. Lineage: Bacteria; Bacillati; Bacillota; Clostridia; Lachnospirales; Lachnospiraceae.